Molecule: long non-coding RNA, 1492 nt
Organism: Micropterus salmoides (largemouth bass)
Lineage: Eukaryota; Metazoa; Chordata; Actinopteri; Centrarchiformes; Centrarchidae
Exons: 2
Source: RefSeq, a predicted model, not a curated record
UCUCUGUUUGGGGGAGUGGCUUAGGAGGGAGGCCUGAAGGGGGGGUUAUAUUUUCCACCUGGUUGGAUGGAUAAAUCUCAGUCUCUUCCUGGUUACCUGCCGCAGCUGUGACACUGUGUCAGUGUUCAUGUGUUCAUGUUUCAGCAACAUGUUCUUUAAACUCUGUUGCUAACUGGGGGGGGGCAGACAGAAACAACAGAGGGCUGUCAGGUGUUGGUGAGAGAGGUGGAGCUCCAUAGAGAAUGAACAGAGAGAGAGAGAGGGAGUGGUGGCAGGUAGAACAGGUUUUGGGCGAGGCGGUCGAGCGAGCUUCACAAACACAGUGAUAAGGAGAGAGAGAGGGCGAAGUAGUUAAAGAUCAGAGAUUUCCUUCAGUCGGUCAUCAAAACAGUUUCCACCAGCAGAGGAGAAGAAACAGGCCACAGCAGCAGAGGACAAGAAGAAGACGAAGAAACUGGUCAAAACAGCAGAGGACGUUGUGUUUUUCUUCAGGAGGAAGACGAGGAGCCUUCGGUGCCGUGAACAGAGCUCUCUCGCCCUGACUGCCUCGAGUCUUUUGAUUGGACGGCUGCCUGAUUGACUGAUUGAUGGUCUUUAGCUCCGCCCUCCCGUGACGCACCGCCAUGUCAUCAAACAUCAAAGUCUCCCUUGACAACCCUUACGGUGAGGUGACCAUCCCACGGGCUAAGCUCCGCCCCUCCGAUGACGUCUCCACGGUGAUAGCCAAUCCGGUGGCUCUGAGCAGUGACAACCCGUACGGCACGUCAAGCUCCGCCCCACCGCCGCCAUAUAUGGUAAAGGACGCUAGAGAGGGGGAGGAGGAGGAGGAGGGGAGGUGCCGCGUCUGCUGCUACCGCUGCAGGAGAAGGAAGUGAUGUCACAGCAGGAGGCGGAUUGUGAUUGGCUCAGAUUUAUUUAUUUCCUGUUUCACUGAGGAGGCAGAGGCCAUUUUACGUGUCAAACCAGCCCAAUAUUUAAAUCUGUGGACAAGGUCAAAGUUCGUCGGAGUGAAGAAGGCCAUGGAUCCAGCCGAGAGCUCAGGAGCAGUUUAAUAUAUCAAUCACCGUUUCAUCAUCACGGUAACGAGCUGAGAACAACAGGAUCAAUCAUCUUAAUGUAUUUUAAUUAAUAAUAGUAUCAAUAAGAAUUAUUCAUAUUUAACGUAUCAGUACAUGAUGGACAUUAGUGGCGUUGGCGUUUGGAUUUAGAAGAAUCCGAAAAUGAGGAAACUUUAUUUUGUCGUCUUGAUCUGAUUCUUAGAUUUUAUCCACGUUUUCCUUCCUCGGAGGAAGUGAUGUGAUGAUUUCAGGAAGUGUUGGAACGUUUCCGUGAAGUAUUUAUAUUUUUGAACAGCUAAUUUGAACAUUUUAGCCUGACGGAGUUUAAUCAGAAUGAUAUCUGGAUAAAAUGGAGGAUAGAAACGUUCAACUGUUCAUUUGCUGUAAAAGUUUUUCUGUUUCUGCUGAAAUAAAGUGACUUGUGAUCAUCUCUU